RNAcentral lists this ribosomal RNA (669 nucleotides) under uncultured archaeon. RNAcentral's name for it is "bacterial SSU rRNA". It matches the Rfam family "Archaeal small subunit ribosomal RNA", at positions 332 to 1003 of the family's 1478-position model. The record is from RNAcentral.
GCAGCAGUCGCGAAACCUUUGCAAUAAGCGAAAGCUUGACAGGGCUAUCCCGAGUGCCAUCCGCUGAGGAAGGCUUUUACCCAGUCUAGAAAGCUGGGGGAAUAAGGAGAGGGCAAGUCUGGUGUCAGCCGCCGCGGUAAUACCAGCUCUUCGAGUGGUGUGGAUGUUUAUUGGGCCUAAAGCAUCCGUAGCUGGCUAGGUCAGUCCCUUGUUAAAUCCACCGAAUUAAUCGUUGGAUCGCGGGGGAUACUGCUUGGCUAGGGGACGAGAGAGGCAGACGGUAUUUUCGGGGUAGGGGUGAAAUCCUAUAAUCCCGGGAAGACCACCAGUGGCGAAGGCUGUCUGCUAGAACGCGCCCGACGGUGAGGGAUGAAAGCUGGGGGAGCGAACCGGAUUAGAUACCCGGGUAGUCCCAGCUGUAAACGAUGCAGACUAGGUGUUUGGACGGCCACGUGCCGUUCUAGUGCCGCAGGGAAGCUGUUAAGUCUGCCGCCUGGGGAGUACGAUCGCAAGAUUGAAACUUAAAGGAAUUGGCGGGGGAGCACCACAAGGGGUGAAGCUUGCGGUUUAAUUGGAGUCAACGCCGGAAAUCUCACCGGGAGCGACAGCAGUAUGAAAGCCAGAUUGAAGGUCUUGCUAGACGAGCUGAGAGGAAGUGCAUGGCCAAUC